Molecule: ribosomal RNA, 2253 nt
Filed under: Staphylococcus aureus
Lineage: Bacteria; Bacillati; Bacillota; Bacilli; Caryophanales; Staphylococcaceae
Also listed under: 1 other name
Description: partial 23S ribosomal RNA
Rfam family: Bacterial large subunit ribosomal RNA
Source: RNAcentral
UAGCGAAAGCGAGUCUGAAUAGGGCGUUUAGUAUUUGGUCGUAGACCCGAAACCAGGUGAUCUACCCUUGGUCAGGUUGAAGUUCAGGUAACACUGAAUGGAGGACCGAACCGACUUACGUUGAAAAGUGAGCGGAUGAACUGAGGGUAGCGGAGAAAUUCCAAUCGAACCUGGAGAUAGCUGGUUCUCUCCGAAAUAGCUUUAGGGCUAGCCUCAAGUGAUGAUUAUUGGAGGUAGAGCACUGUUUGGACGAGGGGCCCCUCUCGGGUUACCGAAUUCAGACAAACUCCGAAUGCCAAUUAAUUUAACUUGGGAGUCAGAACAUGGGUGAUAAGGUCCGUGUUCGAAAGGGAAACAGCCCAGACCACCAGCUAAGGUCCCAAAAUAUAUGUUAAGUGGAAAAGGAUGUGGCGUUGCCCAGACAACUAGGAUGUUGGCUUAGAAGCAGCCAUCAUUUAAAGAGUGCGUAAUAGCUCACUAGUCGAGUGACACUGCGCCGAAAAUGUACCGGGGCUAAACAUAUUACCGAAGCUGUGGAUUGUCCUUUGGACAAUGGUAGGAGAGCGUUCUAAGGGCGUUGAAGCAUGAUCGUAAGGACAUGUGGAGCGCUUAGAAGUGAGAAUGCCGGUGUGAGUAGCGAAAGACGGGUGAGAAUCCCGUCCACCGAUUGACUAAGGUUUCCAGAGGAAGGCUCGUCCGCUCUGGGUUAGUCGGGUCCUAAGCUGAGGCCGACAGGCGUAGGCGAUGGAUAACAGGUUGAUAUUCCUGUACCACCUAUAAUCGUUUUAAUCGAUGGGGGGACGCAGUAGGAUAGGCGAAGCGUGCGAUUGGAUUGCACGUCUAAGCAGUAAGGCUGAGUAUUAGGCAAAUCCGGUACUCGUUAAGGCUGAGCUGUGAUGGGGAGAAGACAUUGUGUCUUCGAGUCGUUGAUUUCACACUGCCGAGAAAAGCCUCUAGAUAGAAAAUAGGUGCCCGUACCGCAAACCGACACAGGUAGUCAAGAUGAGAAUUCUAAGGUGAGCGAGCGAACUCUCGUUAAGGAACUCGGCAAAAUGACCCCGUAACUUCGGGAGAAGGGGUGCUCUUUAGGGUUAACGCCCAGAAGAGCCGCAGUGAAUAGGCCCAAGCGACUGUUUAUCAAAAACACAGGUCUCUGCUAAACCGUAAGGUGAUGUAUAGGGGCUGACGCCUGCCCGGUGCUGGAAGGUUAAGAGGAGUGGUUAGCUUCUGCGAAGCUACGAAUCGAAGCCCCAGUAAACGGCGGCCGUAACUAUAACGGUCCUAAGGUAGCGAAAUUCCUUGUCGGGUAAGUUCCGACCCGCACGAAAGGCGUAACGAUUUGGGCACUGUCUCAACGAGAGACUCGGUGAAAUCAUAGUACCUGUGAAGAUGCAGGUUACCCGCGACAGGACGGAAAGACCCCGUGGAGCUUUACUGUAGCCUGAUAUUGAAAUUCGGCACAGCUUGUACAGGAUAGGUAGGAGCCUUUGAAACGUGAGCGCUAGCUUACGUGGAGGCGCUGGUGGGAUACUACCCUAGCUGUGUUGGCUUUCUAACCCGCACCACUUAUCGUGGUGGGAGACAGUGUCAGGCGGGCAGUUUGACUGGGGCGGUCGCCUCCUAAAAGGUAACGGAGGCGCUCAAAGGUUCCCUCAGAAUGGUUGGAAAUCAUUCAUAGAGUGUAAAGGCAUAAGGGAGCUUGACUGCGAGACCUACAAGUCGAGCAGGGUCGAAAGACGGACUUAGUGAUCCGGUGGUUCCGCAUGGAAGGGCCAUCGCUCAACGGAUAAAAGCUACCCCGGGGAUAACAGGCUUAUCUCCCCCAAGAGUUCACAUCGACGGGGAGGUUUGGCACCUCGAUGUCGGCUCAUCGCAUCCUGGGGCUGUAGUCGGUCCCAAGGGUUGGGCUGUUCGCCCAUUAAAGCGGUACGCGAGCUGGGUUCAGAACGUCGUGAGACAGUUCGGUCCCUAUCCGUCGUGGGCGUAGGAAAUUUGAGAGGAGCUGUCCUUAGUACGAGAGGACCGGGAUGGACAUACCUCUGGUGUACCAGUUGUCGUGCCAACGGCAUAGCUGGGUAGCUAUGUGUGGACGGGAUAAGUGCUGAAAGCAUCUAAGCAUGAAGCCCCCCUCAAGAUGAGAUUUCCCAACUUCGGUUAUAAGAUCCCUCAAAGAUGAUGAGGUUAAUAGGUUCGAGGUGGAAGCAUGGUGACAUGUGGAGCUGACGAAUACUAAUCGAUCGAAGACUUAAUCAA